AAGACCUUGCACUUUUAGAGCGGCCGAUGCCUGAUUAGCUUGUUGGUAAGGUAAAGGCUUACCAAGGCUUCGAUCAGUAGCUGGUCUGAGAGGACGACCAGCCACACUGGGACUGAGACACGGCCCAGACUCCUACGGGAGGCAGCAGUGGGGAAUUUUGGACAAUGGGGGCAACCCUGAUCCAGCCAUGCCGCGUGAGUGAAGAAGGCCUUCGGGUUGUAAAGCUCUUUCAGCCGGAACGAAACGGUUACGGUUAAUACCCGUGACUAAUGACGGUACCGGAAGAAGAAGCACCGGCUAACUACGUGCCAGCAGCCGCGGUAAUACGUAGGGUGCGAGCGUUAAUCGGAAUUACUGGGCGUAAAGCGUGCGCAGGUGGUUUUGUAAGUCAGAUGUGAAAGCCCCGGGCUCAACCUGGGAACU
RNAcentral lists this ribosomal RNA (423 nucleotides) under uncultured bacterium. RNAcentral's name for it is "bacterial SSU rRNA". It matches the Rfam family "Bacterial small subunit ribosomal RNA", at positions 207 to 622 of the family's 1533-position model. The record is from RNAcentral.